GGUAUGGGAUGAGCUUGCGUCCGAUUAGCUAGUUGGCGGGGCAACGGCCCACCAAGGCGACGAUCGGUAGCCGGCCUGAGAGGGUGAUCGGCCACAUUGGGACUGAGAUACGGCCCAGACUCCUACGGGAGGCAGCAGUAGGGAAUAUUGCACAAUGGGGGAAACCCUGAUGCAGCAACGCCACGUGUGGGAAGAAGCAUUUCGGUGUGUAAACCACUGUCAUGAGGGAAUAAGGCCCGCCUUCGGGCGGGAUUGAAUGUACCUUGAGAGGAAGCACCGGCAAACUUCGUGCCAGCAGCCGCGGUAAUACGAGGGGUGCAAGCGUUGUUCGGAAUUACUGGGCGUAAAGGGAGCGUAGGCGGAGAUUCAAGCGGAUUGUACAAUCCCGGGGCCCAACCCCGGUUCUGCAGUCCGAACUGGAUCUCUUGGAUAGUUCAGGGGCAGGC
This 446-nucleotide ribosomal RNA is filed under the name uncultured bacterium. RNAcentral describes it as "bacterial SSU rRNA". It matches the Rfam family "Bacterial small subunit ribosomal RNA", at positions 217 to 662 of the family's 1533-position model. The record is from RNAcentral.